RNAcentral lists this ribosomal RNA (264 nucleotides) under uncultured archaeon. RNAcentral's name for it is "partial 16S ribosomal RNA". It matches the Rfam family "Archaeal small subunit ribosomal RNA", at positions 717 to 982 of the family's 1478-position model. The record is from RNAcentral.
AGACGUCUACAUUAGAUACCCGGGUAGUCCCAGCCGUAAACUAUGCGCGUUAGGUGUAUCGGUGACCACGAGUCACCGAGGUGCCGAAGGGAAACCGUGAAACGUGCCGCCUGGGAAGUACGGUCGCAAGGCUGAAACUUAAAGGAAUUGGCGGGGAGCACCACAACAGGUGGAGCCUGCGGUUUAAUUGGACUCAACGCCGGGAAGCUCACCGGAUAGGACAGCAGAAUGAUUGCCGGGCUGAAGACCCUGCAUGACUAGCUG